RNAcentral lists this long non-coding RNA (1066 nucleotides) under Anas platyrhynchos platyrhynchos (common mallard). RNAcentral's name for it is "lncRNA (ENSAPLG00000028419.1)". The record is from RNAcentral. Lineage: Eukaryota; Metazoa; Chordata; Aves; Anseriformes; Anatidae.
AUGGAGGGCGAUAAGAGAAGAACCAAAGAAGAUACUUGGAAAUCAGAAGAACUUAAGAAACAUCUUAGGGCAUCGCAACUGGAGGGUCAAAAUGAAGACAAAAAGCACAGAGAAAAGCAACUGCAGAAAGAGAAGGCUGUUGAUGACACAGGCACUCAUAAAGAUGAACGCAAAGACAGAGGGAAGAGCAAGGAAAGAACAAGAGAGAGAGAGAGAUUUAAAUCUGUUGAAAGAGACAAAGAUAAAAUGAGAGAGAGAGAAAGGGGAAAAGAACAUCACAGAGAACGUGACAGAGAGAGACACCGAGAUAAGCUUCGAGAGCCAAGUUUGGAUAAGGAAAGAUACAGUGUACCGAAAGAUAAAGACAGGGAGAGUGAUAGAGAACGUGAUAAAAAGCAUAAAAGACAUGAGAUAAAGCAAACAGACCUGCAAAAUAAUCUGAAACCAUCUGAAGGAAGAGAGAAAGAACAUUAUAGAAAAAGAGAAAAAAGCAGACAUCGUUUGGGUAUGUUGCUUUGUGUUGCUCUUUUACUUUGAAAUAUUUGAUAUUUAGGUAGAAGUACUGUGCAGCUGUACAGAGAGGAUGAACACAGGCAGGUUGGAGUAACUACUGAAAUAUAAAUCCUUACAGAAUCCUGUCAUAACUUAGUUUUAUUUUGGUGCUUUUUUGAAUGUUGAUGCUGGUUUCCUUUCCUCUGAAGAGAUAGUGAAUUUCACUGCUAUUGUUGGUCAGUUGACUUGAAAAGAAUAAGUACCUUCCUGCCCAGGCGUUGUCUACUGAGUGAUCAGUUUGAAUCCCAAAGUUGCAGGGUUAUUGCUGAAGUUAGUAGCAUGUGUCAUUUCUCUUACCAUUACAAAAGACAAUUUAAAGCAGAUGGGUUCACCAGGAAGGAAACAGGAAUAGCCAGUUUUGGAGAGAGAAUUUCAAAUGAACAAUCUGUUAUUAUAGAAAGCUAUUAUGUUUUAGAAAUCAAUAUCCCUGAAAUGCUCUUUUCUAGUCUGGAGCUAAUUACGUACAGAGUUUGAAUAUAAUAAAGUCUGCUCAUUAAUUUUUAUAUAUAUUUUU